AACGAACGCUGGCGGCAUGCCUAACACAUGCAAGUCGAACGAGACCUUCGGGUCUAGUGGCGCACGGGUGCGUAACGCGUGGGAACCUGCCCUUAGGGUCGGCAUAACUCCCCGAAAGGGGUGCUAAUACCGGAUAAUGUCUUCGGACCAAAGAUUUAUCGCCUUUGGAUGGGCCCGCGUUGGAUUAGCUAGUUGGUAGGGUAAAAGCCUACCAAGGCGACGAUCCAUAGCUGGUCGGAGAGGAUGAUCAGCCACACUGGGACUGAGACACGGCCCAGACUCCGACGGGAGGCAGCAGUGGGGAAUAUUGGACGAUGGGCGAAAGCCUGAUCCAGCAAUGCCGCGUGAGUGAUGAAGGCCUUAGGGUUGUAAAGCUCUUUUACCCGGGAUGAUAAUGACAGUACCGGGAGAAUAAGCUCCGGCUAACUCCGUG
RNAcentral lists this ribosomal RNA (433 nucleotides) under uncultured bacterium. Its description in RNAcentral is "partial 16S ribosomal RNA". It matches the Rfam family "Bacterial small subunit ribosomal RNA", at positions 29 to 507 of the family's 1533-position model. The record is from RNAcentral.